GGGUUGUGAGGUUAAGCGACUAAGCGUACACGGUGGAUGCCCUGGCAGUCAGAGGCGAUGAAGGACGUGCUAAUCUGCGAAAAGCGUCGGUAAGGUGAUAUGAACCGUUAUAACCGGCGAUGUCCGAAUGGGGAAACCCAGUGCAAUUCGUUGCACUAUCGUUAACUGAAUACAUAGGUUAACGAGGCGAACCGGGGGAACUGAAACAUCUAAGUACCCCGAGGAAAAGAAAUCAACCGAGAUUCCCCCAGUAGCGGCGAGCGAACGGGGAGCAGCCCAGAGUCUGAAUCAGCUUGUGUGUUAGUGGAACGGUCUGGAAAGUCCGACGGUACAGGGUGAUAGUCCCGUACACCAAAAUGCACAGGCUGUGAACUCGAAGAGUAGGGCGGGACACGUGGUAUCCUGUCUGAAUAUGGGGGGACCAUCCUCCAAGGCUAAAUACUCCUGACUGACCGAUAGUGAACCAGUACCGUGAGGGAAAGGCGAAAAGAACCCCGGCGAGGGGAGUGAAAAAGAACCUGAAACCGUGUACGUACAAGCAGUGGGAGCACCUUCGGGUGUGACUGCGUACCUUUUGUAUAAUGGGUCAGCGACUUAUAUUCUGUAGCAAGGUUAACCGUAUAGGGGAGCCGCAGGGAAACCGAGUCUUAACUGGGCGUUAAGUUGCAGGGUAUAGACCCGAAACCCGGUGAUCUAGCCAUGGGCAGGUUGAAGGUUGGGUAACACUAACUGGAGGACCGAACCGACUAAUGUUGAAAAAUUAGCGGAUGACUUGUGGCUGGGGGUGAAAGGCCAAUCAAACCGGGAGAUAGCUGGUUCUCCCCGAAAGCUAUUUAGGUAGCGCCUCGUGAAUUCAUCUUCGGGGGUAGAGCACUGUUUCGGCUAGGGGGUCAUCCCGACUUACCAACCCGAUGCAAACUACGAAUACCGAAGAAUGUUAUCACGGGAGACACACGGCGGGUGCUAACGUCCGUCGUGAAGAGGGAAACAACCCAGACCGCCAGCUAAGGUCCCAAAGUCAUGGUUAAGUGGGAAACGAUGUGGGAAGGCACAGACAGCCAGGAUGUUGGCUUAGAAGCAGCCAUCAUUUAAAGAAAGCGUAAUAGCUCACUGGUCGAGUCGGCCUGCGCGGAAGAUGUAACGGGGCUAAACCAUGCACCGAAGCUGCGGCAGCGACACUAUGUGUUGUUGGGUAGGGGAGCGUUCUGUAAGCCUGCGAAGGUGACCUGUGAGGGUUGCUGGAGGUAUCAGAAGUGCGAAUGCUGACAUAAGUAACGAUAAAGCGGGUGAAAAGCCCGCUCGCCGGAAGACCAAGGGUUCCUGUCCAACGUUAAUCGGGGCAGGGUGAGUCGACCCCUAAGGCGAGGCCGAAAGGCGUAGUCGAUGGGAAACAGGUUAAUAUUCCUGUACUUGGUGUUACUGCGAAGGGGGACGGAGAAGGCUAUGUUAGCCGGGCGACGGUUGUCCCGGUUUAAGCAUGUAGGCUGGUUAUCCAGGCAAAUCCGGAUAAUCAAGGCUGAGGUGUGAUGACGAGGCACUACGGUGCUGAAGUAACAAAUGCCCUGCUUCCAGGAAAAGCCUCUAAGCAUCAGGUAACAUCAAAUCGUACCCCAAACCGACACAGGUGGUCAGGUAGAGAAUACCAAGGCGCUUGAGAGAACUCGGGUGAAGGAACUAGGCAAAAUGGUGCCGUAACUUCGGGAGAAGGCACGCUGGUGUGUAGGUGAAGUCCCUGCGGAUGGAGCUGAGACCAGUCGAAGAUACCAGCUGGCUGCAACUGUUUAUUAAAAACACAGCACUGUGCAAACACGAAAGUGGACGUAUACGGUGUGACGCCUGCCCGGUGCCGGAAGGUUAAUUGAUGGGGUUAUCCGUAAGGAGAAGCUCUUGAUCGAAGCCCCGGUAAACGGCGGCCGUAACUAUAACGGUCCUAAGGUAGCGAAAUUCCUUGUCGGGUAAGUUCCGACCUGCACGAAUGGCGUAAUGAUGGCCAGGCUGUCUCCACCCGAGACUCAGUGAAAUUGAACUCGCUGUGAAGAUGCAGUGUACCCGCGGCAAGACGGAAAGACCCCGUGAACCUUUACUAUAGCUUGACACUGAACAUUGAGCCUUGAUGUGUAGGAUAGGUGGGAGGCUUUGAAGCGUGGACGCCAGUCUGCGUGGAGCCAACCUUGAAAUACCACCCUUUAAUGUUUGAUGUUCUAACGUUGGCCCCUUACCGGGGUUGCGGACAGUGUCUGGUGGGUAGUUUGACUGGGGCGGUCUCCUCCCAAAGCGUAACGGAGGAGCACGAAGGUUAGCUAAUCCUGGUCGGACAUCAGGAGGUUAGUGCAAUGGCAUAAGCUAGCUUGACUGCGAGCGUGACGGCGCGAGCAGGUGCGAAAGCAGGUCAUAGUGAUCCGGUGGUUCUGAAUGGAAGGGCCAUCGCUCAACGGAUAAAAGGUACUCCGGGGAUAACAGGCUGAUACCGCCCAAGAGUUCAUAUCGACGGCGGUGUUUGGCACCUCGAUGUCGGCUCAUCACAUCCUGGGGCUGAAGUAGGUCCCAAGGGUAUGGCUGUUCGCCAUUUAAAGUGGUACGCGAGCUGGGUUUAGAACGUCGUGAGACAGUUCGGUCCCUAUCUGCCGUGGGCGCUGGAGAAUUGAGGGGGCUGCUCCUAGUACGAGAGGACCGGAGUGGACGCAUCACUGGUGUUCGGGUUGUCAUGCCAAUGGCACUGCCCGGUAGCUAAAUGCGGAAGAGAUAAGUGCUGAAAGCAUCUAAGCACGAAACUUGCCCCGAGAUGAGUUCUCCCUGAGACUUUAAGUCUCCUGAAGGAACGUUGAAGACGACGACGUUGAUAGGCCGGGUGUGUAAGCGCAGCGAUGCGUUGAGCUAACCGGUACUAAUGAACCGUGAGGCUUAACCUUACAACGCCGAAG
RNAcentral lists this ribosomal RNA (2921 nucleotides) under Klebsiella pneumoniae subsp. pneumoniae. RNAcentral describes it as "23S ribosomal RNA". It matches the Rfam family "Bacterial large subunit ribosomal RNA". The record is from RNAcentral. Lineage: Bacteria; Pseudomonadati; Pseudomonadota; Gammaproteobacteria; Enterobacterales; Enterobacteriaceae.